This 733-nucleotide ribosomal RNA is filed under the name Serratia sp. L5. RNAcentral's name for it is "bacterial SSU rRNA". It matches the Rfam family "Bacterial small subunit ribosomal RNA", at positions 75 to 800 of the family's 1533-position model. Lineage: Bacteria; Pseudomonadati; Pseudomonadota; Gammaproteobacteria; Enterobacterales; Yersiniaceae. The record is from RNAcentral.
GUAGCUUGCUACUUUGCCGGCGAGCGGCGGACGGGUGAGUAAUGUCUGGGAAACUGCCCGAUGGAGGGGGAUAACCACUGGAAACGGUGGCUAAUACCGCAUAACGUCUUCGGACCAAAGUGGGGGACCUUCGGGCCUCACACCAUCGGAUGUGCCCAGAUGGGAUUAGCUAGUAGGUGGGGUAAUGGCUCACCUAGGCGACGAUCCCUAGCUGGUCUGAGAGGAUGACCAGCCACACUGGAACUGAGACACGGUCCAGACUCCUACGGGAGGCAGCAGUGGGGAAUAUUGCACAAUGGGCGCAAGCCUGAUGCAGCCAUGCCGCGUGUGUGAAGAAGGCCUUCGGGUUGUAAAGCACUUUCAGCGAGGAGGAAGGGUAGUGUCUUAAUACGGCAUUACAUUGACGUUACUCGCAGAAGAAGCACCGGCUAACUCCGUGCCAGCAGCCGCGGUAAUACGGAGGGUGCAAGCGUUAAUCGGAAUUACUGGGCGUAAAGCGCACGCAGGCGGUUUGUUAAGUCAGAUGUGAAAUCCCCGAGCUUAACUUGGGAACUGCAUUUGAAACUGGCAGACUAGAGUCUCGUAGAGGGGGGUAGAAUUCCAGGUGUAGCGGUGAAAUGCGUAGAGAUCUGGAGGAAUACCGGUGGCGAAGGCGGCCCCCUGGACGAAGACUGACGCUCAGUGCGAAAGCGUGGGGAGCAAACAGGAUUAGAUACCGUGGGUUAGUCCAGAU